RNAcentral lists this ribosomal RNA (472 nucleotides) under uncultured bacterium. RNAcentral describes it as "bacterial SSU rRNA". It matches the Rfam family "Bacterial small subunit ribosomal RNA", at positions 355 to 825 of the family's 1533-position model. The record is from RNAcentral.
UGGGGAAUUUUGGACAAUGGGGGCAACCCUGAUCCAGCAAUGCCGCGUGAGUGAAGAAGGCCUUCGGGUUGUAAAGCUCUUUUGUCAGGGAAGAAACGGUAGUAGCGAAUAACUAUUACUAAUGACGGUACCUGAAGAAUAAGCACCGGCUAACUACGUGCCAGCAGCCGCGGUAAUACGUAGGGUGCAAGCGUUAAUCGGAAUUACUGGGCGUAAAGCGUGCGCAGGCGGUUGUGUAAGUCAGAUGUGAAAUCCCCGGGCUCAACCUGGGAAUUGCAUUUGAGACUGCACGGCUAGAGUGUGUCAGAGGGGGGUAGAAUUCCACGUGUAGCAGUGAAAUGCGUAGAUAUGUGGAGGAAUACCGGUGGCGAAGGCAGCCCCCUGGGAUAACACUGACGCUCAUGCACGAAAGCGUGGGGAGCAAACAGGAUUAGAUACCCCCGUAGUCCCUGAGCGGGCUGGCAAGGCGCAU